RNAcentral lists this non-coding RNA (115 nucleotides) under Agarivorans albus. RNAcentral describes it as "TPP sequence". It matches the Rfam family "TPP riboswitch aptamer (THI element)". Rfam says of the family: Vitamin B(1) in its active form thiamin pyrophosphate (TPP) is an essential coenzyme that is synthesised by coupling of pyrimidine and thiazole moieties in bacteria. The record is from RNAcentral. Lineage: Bacteria; Pseudomonadati; Pseudomonadota; Gammaproteobacteria; Alteromonadales; Alteromonadaceae. RNAcentral also lists the same sequence under 1 other name.
GCUCUCUUGUCGGAGUGCCGAAAGGCUGAGACCACGGUUAGCUAAGCUACGUUGUGUGGGAUCCGUAUAACUUGAUCAGGAUAAUGCCUGCGCAGGGAACAAGAUAAGUAAUCAA